CAGCUAGAAAGCAGAAAUGUGGUAUGUUGCCUUCUUCAUAAUGGUGUAUUUACGAAUCUUCCUGAGCUUGCAGUGGUUUUCGAGAAUUAACCAUUGUUGGGGUUAUCUUAUCCUUUCAUUGAAAAAUAUUGUACGUUAAAUGUUAGCAUAAAUAAACUGCCCCACAAAUUUCUCAUGCUAGACUUGUUUACUGUUUCAUUCUGAAAUGCAUGACAGUAUCAGCAUGAAACAUGGUAGUGGGUAAAAUUAACUUCUAAAUGAAUCUAACAAUGUGAUGCAAUACAAUUUGUCAUAAUGAAAUGUAAUUUACACAUUAUCGUAUGCCUAAGCUUAUUCAACCUCCUGCAACACGUGGUUAUUUAUAUUUGAG
This 370-nucleotide unclassified non-coding RNA is filed under the name Hevea brasiliensis (rubber tree). The record is from RNAcentral. Lineage: Eukaryota; Viridiplantae; Streptophyta; Magnoliopsida; Malpighiales; Euphorbiaceae.